RNAcentral lists this non-coding RNA (97 nucleotides) under Streptomyces rubellomurinus. RNAcentral's name for it is "Bacterial small subunit ribosomal RNA". It matches the Rfam family "Bacterial small subunit ribosomal RNA", at positions 1 to 100 of the family's 1533-position model. The record is from Rfam by way of RNAcentral. Lineage: Bacteria; Bacillati; Actinomycetota; Actinomycetes; Kitasatosporales; Streptomycetaceae.
UUCACGGAGAGUUUGAUCCUGGCUCAGGACGAACGCUGGCGGCGUGCUUAACACAUGCAAGUCGAACGGUGAAGCCCUUCGGGGUGGAUCAGUGGCG